This 173-nucleotide ribosomal RNA is filed under the name uncultured bacterium. RNAcentral describes it as "partial 16S ribosomal RNA". It matches the Rfam family "Bacterial small subunit ribosomal RNA", at positions 1332 to 1500 of the family's 1533-position model. The record is from RNAcentral.
UCGCUAGUAAUCGCGGAUCAGCACGCCGCGGUGAAUACGUUCCCGGGCCUUGUACACACCGCCCGUCACACCAUGGAAGUCUGCAAUGCCCGAAGCCGGUGGCCUAACCACUUACGUGGAAGGAACCGUCUAAGGCAGGGCAGAUGACUGGGGUGAAGUCGUAACAAGGUAAC